Solanum pennellii is the source of this 637-nucleotide long non-coding RNA. RefSeq lists it as uncharacterized. NCBI's taxonomy places the organism in Eukaryota, Viridiplantae, Streptophyta, Magnoliopsida, Solanales, Solanaceae. The record is from RefSeq and is a predicted model, not a curated record. The transcript is spliced from 3 exons.
UACAAUACUUGCCCACCCAAGUAUUGAGAGAGUUCAAUUGUUAAUCAGGAUCACUCUGAAAUACUGUAGAAUUGAAGUUGAAUUUACUUCAAGAUAUCUGCACACGCUUCAAGAGACUGGUCCCUAAGCUGUUCAACAGAAUUCAUGCAUCAGAAUUGCUUGCUUAGUGGGGAGAGAAGCACAUGCAUGGAGUAGUAAAGUAGAGAAAAAAACAAGAAUGAAAAAAAAGGGGAAGAUUAGCUAGCUAGAAGAAGAACAAGUAGAGAAAAUGGAAUGAGAAGUUGCAAUAAUAAUUGCCACACAAAUAUAAGGAGAUUGAGAAAUAGAACAAUGAUGUCUCUUAAGGUAUAGGUUCUUCUACCCCACCACUUGUUGCUUUAUUCUUCUUAUCCCAUCAUGCUUAUCUUCCAAAGUUAGCACAAAAACUUUUUUCAAGAAUAUUUUUUAUUGUGGAAAGCUUUGUAGGACAGAGAAAAUCAAAAGAUAAAAAGCACACAAUUCCUAACCUAAGGUUAUAUAUAUAUACAUGAUGUUGAUAUAGUGAGUUAGAAAAAAUAAUGCAUACAUACGUUAUUUUGAUGUAUUAUUAAUUUCUUCUUUAGUAUAAUUUUUUUUAAUUUAUGUGUAACUUUUUUCA